AAUCUGCUGUGUGAGUCAUCCACAUGCAUAGAGUUUGUGAAAUGACUUGCAUUGAGUUGACUGCUUCAGUUUUAUGUGCUCCAUUAUGUUGGCAUUAUUCCUCAGCCAGGCAAUUCCUGCAUUUGAGUAUCUGCAUCUUCCAGAAUUAAAAACAUGAGAAAUUGGAUAUUGGCACACCUGUGUUCUAUAAGGAUGAAGAGGGAACUUCAAAAGGCUGGUUUGAGUUUCAGGAAAACACUCCAAGCCUUUGAGGUGUCUGGGAGAGACUGGAUGAGCCACUCCCUGGAGGUCCCCAUGUGUCUCUGCUGCCUCUGAGGACAGCCCAGCUCAGGACAGAGUUCCAGAAAUAAAGUGGCCCAAGAAUAGGAAGGAAAAGAACAACUUCUUCCUCCCAAAAACCAGGCAAAAUUUGUGACAUCCUGUA
This is a long non-coding RNA of Zonotrichia leucophrys gambelii, 424 nucleotides long. RefSeq lists it as uncharacterized. The record is from RefSeq and is a predicted model, not a curated record. NCBI's taxonomy places the organism in Eukaryota, Metazoa, Chordata, Aves, Passeriformes, Passerellidae. The transcript is spliced from 4 exons.